RNAcentral lists this long non-coding RNA (505 nucleotides) under Marmota monax (woodchuck). The record is from RNAcentral. Lineage: Eukaryota; Metazoa; Chordata; Mammalia; Rodentia; Sciuridae.
NGUGACAGAAACCGAUCUCUCUGAGCCUUGUUUCCCUUAUCCAUGGAACAGGGGUAAGGCAGGACUGCGGUGGGGUUUAGAGGACACAAUGCACCUGGGGGUCACACUCACUGCCUGGAACACAGAAACUCCACCAAUACUGCACUGCCCAUUCCCUAGGACAGCACUGAGCAUGUGACCCAAGGCGAAAUCAAAAUAAAGUGUCUUCUCUGAGCCUUGGUCUCUUUGUUAAAAAAUGUCUACUGUCUCUCAUGGCCUCACAGGAUUGUGGCAAGGACUGGAGAAGGCCCAGGUGUGGACACGUUUUUGUACAUUGUGGAAAUAUUACCCAGGCGGGCUAUGACUCGCUAGUGGCACGUUGGUACUGUACUGUGGAGGAAUGAUGUAUGGGGCAUUGGGGUGCAGCAGCUGUCUGGGCCAAGUUGGGGAGAAGGUGUUUGAGGACACGACUGCCUGAGGCUUGACUUACCUAUGGACACUGAACCACCCCUGUACCCUGCUGUCC